GACGAACGCUGGCGGCGUGCCUAACACAUGCAAGUCGAGCGGGGUUGAGGCGAGAGGUAACUCGAGCUUCUACCUAGCGGCGGACGGGUGAGUAACGCGUGGGCAACCUGCCUCAAGGUUUGGGAUAACAGCCCGAAAGGGCUGCUAAUACCGGAUAUGCCUAUGGCCUCGCAUGGGGCUAUGAGCAAAGGGGAAACCCGCCUUGAGAUGGGCCCGCGUCCCAUCAGCUAGUUGGUGAGGUAACAGCUCACCAAGGCGACGACGGGUAGCCGGCCUGAGAGGGUGACCGGCCACACUGGGACUGAGACACGGCCCAGACUCCUACGGGGACG
Molecule: ribosomal RNA, 332 nt
Filed under: uncultured bacterium
Lineage: Bacteria
Description: bacterial SSU rRNA
Rfam family: Bacterial small subunit ribosomal RNA
Source: RNAcentral